UACGGAGGGAGCUAGCGUUGUUCGGAAUUACUGGGCGUAAAGCGCACGUAGGCGGCUAUUCAAGUCGGGGGUGAAAGCCCGGGGCUCAACCCCGGAACUGCCCUCGAAACUAGGUAGCUAGAAUCUUGGAGAGGCGAGUGGAAUUCCGAGUGUAGAGGUGAAAUUCGUAGAUAUUAGGAAGAACACCAGUGGCGAAGGCGGCUCACUGGCCCGGUACUGACGCUGAGGCGCGAAAGCGUGGGGAGCAAACAGG
Molecule: ribosomal RNA, 253 nt
Filed under: uncultured bacterium
Lineage: Bacteria
Description: partial 16S ribosomal RNA
Rfam family: Bacterial small subunit ribosomal RNA
Source: RNAcentral